CCUUGAACUGAUAAAUGCAAAGUUGGUAUUACACAGUAGCCAUAUAACAGCAAGAACAAGUAGAAAUAUAUAAUAAAGUUUCAAGAACAGUUUCUUCUUUCGUAGUCAUAUCCUUUUUUUCUUCUCUCUCUCUCUCUCCAUGCAGAAAUUUAUUCUAUACCAAUACAUAACUUCUAUGCUUUCAUCCCUUAACAAUAUUGUUAUAGUUGAAAGAACACUAGGCUAGCUUUAGGGAACCAGAGGAAGGAGUAGCUUACAAAGGAAAGGAUGUGGAGGAAAAGGCUUCUUGAAUGUUGGAAUGGGUGGAGGAAGAGACCUACUUGAAAAGAGGAGGGGGAAAUGGGCUCGUCGGAUAUCCUGGAAUCCGAUAUCCUGGAUCCCCAUUUUUUCGUUCCACAACUGGCACCGGCGGAUGACUCAGCUUCUUAAAAGGUGGAAUCUUGAAGAUUGGAACUGAUGGAGCGAGUGGCUUCUUGAAGAUUGGAACUGGUGGUGGAAAUGGCUUCUUUACAGUGGGAAUCUUAUGUAGAGGUGGUUUCUUGAAGGAGGGCUUCGGUGGAAAUGGCUUCUUUACAAUGGGAAUCUUAUGCACAGGUGGUUUCUUGAAGAAGGGUUUUGGUGGAAGCACUGCAAACUUCCUUUCUUCAUUGAGCUCUGCAGCCUCUGUUUGGAGCUCUUCAAUUUGGACAUGCAGGUGCACAAGAGAUGCAGAAGAAUGUCAUUAUGUGAUCUCAAGACUAAUAUAUAAUAACACACAUAUAAAUAUAUAUCUCACCUGAAAAAGCUUUGUCUAGUACUACUUGUUCUCCAGCGACCUCAACAGUCUUUCCAUUGCUGUAGCAGAAGCUUACCGCAAACAAGCAGAACCAGAGCCCCAGAAGAGCUCCUUGGAAAGCAAGACGGGUCUGCAUUGAAACCCUUCUUAAUAAGCUGCCACUUAUAGAAGUGCUUAAUCCAACUUUUAAAAUUUGGUUAAGCUAGCUUUGGUGCUU
Molecule: long non-coding RNA, 992 nt
Filed under: Prunus dulcis (almond)
Lineage: Eukaryota; Viridiplantae; Streptophyta; Magnoliopsida; Rosales; Rosaceae
Description: sRNA ncRNA
Source: RNAcentral